Molecule: ribosomal RNA, 591 nt
Filed under: uncultured bacterium
Lineage: Bacteria
Description: partial 16S ribosomal RNA
Rfam family: Bacterial small subunit ribosomal RNA
Source: RNAcentral
UGGGGAAUUUUGGACAAUGGGCGAAAGCCUGAUCCAGCAAUGCCGCGUGUGUGAAGAAGGCCUUCGGGUUGUAAAGCACUUUUGUCCGGAAAGAAAUCCUUGGCUCUAAUACAGUCGGGGGAUGACGGUACCGGAAGAAUAAGCACCGGCUAACUACGUGCCAGCAGCCGCGGUAAUACGUAGGGUGCAAGCGUUAAUCGGAAUUACUGGGCGUAAAGCGUGCGCAGGCGGUUUGCUAAGACCGAUGUGAAAUCCCCGGGCUCAACCUGGGAACUGCAUUGGUGACUGGCAGGCUAGAGUAUGGCAGAGGGGGGUAGAAUUCCACGUGUAGCAGUGAAAUGCGUAGAGAUGUGGAGGAAUACCGAUGGCGAAGGCAGCCCCCUGGGAUGAUACUGACGCUCAUGCACGAAAGCGUGGGGAGCAAACAGGAUUAGAUACCCUGGUAGUCCACGCCCUAAANGAUGUCAACUAGCUGUUGGGGGUUUUAUUAACCUUAGUAAGCGCAGCUAACGCGUGAAGUUGACCGCCUGGGGAGUACGGUCNCAAGAUUAAAAACUUAAAGGAAUUGACGGGGGUCAUAGCUGUUUUCCU